AAUAGAUACCCAGGUAGUCCACGCCGUAAACGAUGAGUGCUAAGUGUUAGGGGGUUUCCGCCCCUUAGUGCUGCAGCUAACGCAUUAAGCACUCCGCCUGGGGAGUACGGUCGCAAGACUGAAACUCAAAGGAAUUGACGGGGGCCCGCACAAGCGGUGGAGCAUGUGGUUUAAUUCGAAGCAACGCGAAGAACCUUACCAGGUCUUGACAUCCCAUUGACCACUAUGGAGACAUAGUUUUCCCUUCGGGGACAACGGUGACAGGUGGUGCAUGGUUGUCGUCAGCUCGUGUCGUGAGAUGUUGGGUUAAGUCCCGCAACGAGCGCAACCCUUGUUCUUAGUUGCCAUCAUUUAGUUGGGCACUCUAAGGAGACUGCCGGUGACAAACCGGAGGAAGGUGGGGAUGACGUCAAAUCAUCAUGCCCCUUAUGACCUGGGCUACACACGUGCUACAAUGGACGGUACAAACGGUUGCCAACCGCGAGGGGAGCUAAUCCGAUAAAACCGUUCUCAGUUCGGAUUGUAGGCUGCAACUCGCCUACA
This 543-nucleotide ribosomal RNA is filed under the name uncultured bacterium. Its description in RNAcentral is "bacterial SSU rRNA". It matches the Rfam family "Bacterial small subunit ribosomal RNA", at positions 777 to 1320 of the family's 1533-position model. The record is from RNAcentral.